Salvia miltiorrhiza (redroot sage) is the source of this 1016-nucleotide long non-coding RNA. RefSeq lists it as uncharacterized. The transcript has 3 exons. NCBI's taxonomy places the organism in Eukaryota, Viridiplantae, Streptophyta, Magnoliopsida, Lamiales, Lamiaceae. The record is from RefSeq and is a predicted model, not a curated record.
AUGGCAAUGGAUCCGGGACCCGGUCCAGAUCCGCGGAUCCAGACCCUUUUUUCCGGAUUUGGACCUUGCAAAAUUUGGACCCGGCGGAUCUGGACCGGAUCUGGACCACUCUCUAAAAAACCGGAUCCGGAUCUGGAGUAGAAGGUAUAAAACCCAGAUCCGGUCCAGAUCCGGCCCAGAUCCGGAUCUGGACCCGGUAAUAUUAUAGAUAUAAUAUUUUUAUUUUUUUAAUUUUAUCCAACCCUAAACAUAUCUAACUUUUGCAAUUCAAUUUCAAAAUCAAAACCCUACUUCAUCUAAUCAUCUCACGGUCUCACCUCACCUGCGCCGCUCACCUAUCCUCCACGCCACCCGCGCCGCUCGCCUAUCCUCCGGCCGGCGGCCGUGCACCUCCGAAUCAGCCCCUCCGGCCUUCCCCACCUGAGAGCAGCAGCGUGAGCAGAGCAGCGUGAGCAGCAGGCAACGCCAAUCCAUCUACGGCCGCUCCAUCUCCGUCCACCUUCGUCCACCUCCAGUCUCGGCCUUUCCCCCACCCGAAAUCUGUGGACUUGAGCGGAGGCUCUGCUGCAGAGCAGGUUCUCGGCGUGAGCAGAGCAGCGCAAGGCAACGCCAAUCCAUCUCCGGCCGCUCCUCUCCGGCCGUUGCUCGUCCUCUCCGACCGCUCCUCUCCGGCCGCUGCUGAUCCUCUCAUCAGGUAAAUUGGAGGACACACAUUCUUAUUCUAUUGUUACCGAAGAUUGUGAUGAAGAUGGAGAUCAAAUUGAUUAUAUUGAUAUGGAUGUUGAUGAUGUCGAAAGUAGCUGCAAUAUGGAAGACAUCUUUGAGGAUUACAGAAAUUGAUCGUUUCAAUAUUAUGAUUAUUAUGUUCUCAUUUUGGAUUGUUUGGUUUUAAAUGAAUUAUGAUGUUCUUAUUUAUUUUGGAUUGUUUAGUUUUAAAUGGAUUAUGGUGUAUUUUGUAUUCUUGAAUGAUUGUUGAAACUUUAGACAAUUGUUAUGAUUUUUAUUUUAAUGUUUAA